Molecule: ribosomal RNA, 475 nt
Filed under: uncultured earthworm cast bacterium
Lineage: Bacteria
Description: bacterial SSU rRNA
Rfam family: Bacterial small subunit ribosomal RNA
Source: RNAcentral
GCAAGUUGAGCGGAAAGGCCCCUUCUGGGGUACUCGAGCGGCGAACGGGUGAGUAACACGUGGGUAAUCUGCCCUGGACACAGGAAUAACCAGUGGAAACGCUGGCUAAUGCCUGAUGACGUGCCGGCCCCUCGGGGCUGUCACCAAAGGUAGCUUCGGCCUCCGGUCCGGGAUGAGCCCGCGGCCCAUAAGCUUGUUGGCGGGGUAACGGCCCACCAAGGCGACGAUGGGUAGCUGGUCUGAGAGGACGAUCAGCCACACUGGGACUGAGACACGGCCCAGACUCCUACGGGAGGCAGCAGUGGGGAAUCUUGCGCAAUGGGCGGAAGCCUGACGCAGCAACGCCGCGUGCGGGAAGAAGGCCUUCGGGUUGUAAACCGCUUUCAGCAGGGACGAAGGCGAGCGGGUUAAUAGCCCGUCAGUUGACUGUACCUGCAGAAGAAGGUCCGGCUAACUACGUGCCAGCAGCCCGCGG